AAGUUCCUCAAAGUUGGAGACGAUGACGACAGAGAGGAUGUUGCAUUAUUUUAAAAUUUGUUUAUUUCUUUUAAAAAUAAACUUAGUUGAAAAUGUGAAACAGCUAGGCUUCAAACUUGGGAUCUCGAGUAUCAACUACUAAGCGCUUUACAACUUGCGCCAGGGAUGGUCGGUAAAAAGAAUUAUACUAUUUGAACAAAUAUUAUAC
Molecule: long non-coding RNA, 208 nt
Filed under: Ananas comosus (pineapple)
Lineage: Eukaryota; Viridiplantae; Streptophyta; Magnoliopsida; Poales; Bromeliaceae
Description: long non-coding RNA (ACOM_LNC040085)
Source: RNAcentral